RNAcentral lists this ribosomal RNA (429 nucleotides) under uncultured ammonia-oxidizing beta proteobacterium. RNAcentral describes it as "bacterial SSU rRNA". It matches the Rfam family "Bacterial small subunit ribosomal RNA", at positions 198 to 608 of the family's 1533-position model. The record is from RNAcentral. Lineage: Bacteria; Pseudomonadati; Pseudomonadota; Betaproteobacteria.
GGAGGAAAGCAGGGGAUCGCAAGACCUUACGCUUUUGGAGCGGCCGAUGUCUGAUUAGCUUGUUGGUGAGGUAAAGGCUUACCAAGGCUUCGAUCAGUAGCUGGUCUGAGAGGACGACCAGCCACACUGGGACUGAGACACGGCCCAGACUCCUACGGGAGGCAGCAGUGGGGAAUUUUGGACAAUGGGGGAAACCCUGAUCCAGCCAUGCCGCGUGAGUGAAGAAGGCCCUCGGGUUGUAAAGCUCUUUCAGCCGGAACGAAACGGUUACGAUUAAUACCUGUAACUACUGACGGUACCGGAAGAAGAAGCACCGGCUAACUACGUGCCAGCAGCCGCGGUAAUACGUAGGGUGCAAGCGUUAAUCGGAAUUACUGGGCGUAAAGCGUGCGCAGGUGGUUUUGUAAGUCAGAUGUGAAAUCCCCGGGC